CCUACGGGAGGCAGCUGUGAGGAAUAUUGGUCAAUGGUCGGGCGACUGAACCAGCCAAGCCGCGUGAGGGAUGAAGGUACAGAGUAUCGUAAACCUCUUUUGUCAGGGAACACAGUCGGGGACGCGUCCCCGGAUGAGUGUACCUGAAGAAAAAGCAUCGGCUAACUCCGUGCCAUCAGCCGCGGUAAUACGGAGGAUGCGAGCGUUCUCCGGAUUUGUGGGGAUUAACGGUUGCGCAGGCGGUCUGUUAAGUCAGCGGUCAAAGCCCGGGGCUCAACCCCGGCCCGCCGUUGAAACUGUCAGUCGCGAGUUGGAGAGAAGUAUGCGGAAGGCGCGGUGUAGCGGUGAAAUGCAUAGAUAUCGCGCAGAACUCCGAGUGCGAAGGCAGCAUGCCGGCUCCACACUGACGCUGAGGCACGAAAGCGUGGGUAUCGAACAGGAUUAGAUACCCGGGUAGUC
Molecule: ribosomal RNA, 459 nt
Filed under: uncultured bacterium
Lineage: Bacteria
Description: partial 16S ribosomal RNA
Rfam family: Bacterial small subunit ribosomal RNA
Source: RNAcentral